This 512-nucleotide long non-coding RNA is filed under the name Solanum tuberosum (potato). RNAcentral describes it as "long non-coding RNA (STUB_LNC004190)". The record is from RNAcentral. Lineage: Eukaryota; Viridiplantae; Streptophyta; Magnoliopsida; Solanales; Solanaceae.
CUCCGUAUAACUAAUCAAAGUUAGUAGCCGCGUUGUACGACCAUGGACUCCCUAUUGACUAUACAUGUCCUUUUGCCUCUUUUCUUGGAAUCCAGCUAUUUUCAUUAAUUUAUGUACUUAGCCAUCGUUAGGUCAAUGUUCAUUCUAAUCAAUACCCAGUUGAACUUACAAUCAGACUGGCCAUGGCUGGCCUACACAUUUUUAAUGAUUGUUUAUCAAUGACCUUUUCGCCGCCGAACAAGCAAACACCCAUUCCUUCUUCAACAGACCCACCAAACAAGUCUAGCUUUUGGUAAAACCAACAGGACAAUGUACAAGAAUUUUACUUUAUUUUUACCUGUAAGAUGAACAAUUAAGUAUCAACGUAAACAGGUUAAAAUUGCAUGGAUAAUGUAAAUAGAAAAAAAAAUCUUUGACACAUCUAUUUUGAAUAUGAAUCGCGGGCGAUGCCUGCAGUUUCUUCACUCAACUGUCAAUAUAUCAUACCUUAAAGUGAUGUUAUCUUUUCAUCA